GUCGGGAAUUUUGGGCAAUGGGCGAAAGCCUGACCCAGCAACGCCGCGUGAAGGAUGAAGUAUUUCGGUAUGUAAACUUCGAAAGAAUAGGAAGAAUAAAUGACGGUACUAUUUAUAAGCUCCGGCUAACUACGUGCCAGCAGCCGCGGUAAUACGUAGGGAGCAAGCGUUGUUCGGAUUUACUGGGCGUAAAGGGCGCGUAGGCGGCGCGGUAAGUCACUUGUGAAAUCUCUGAGCUUAACUCAGAACGGCCAAGUGAUACUGCAGUGCUAGAGUGCAGAAGGGGCAAUCGGAAUUCUUGGUGUAGCGGUGAAAUGCGUAGAUAUCAAGAGGAACACCUGAGGUGAAGACGGGUUGCUGGGCUGACACUGACGCUGAGGCGCGAAAGCCAGGGGAGCAAACGGGAUUAGAUACCCCUGUAGUCC
This 425-nucleotide ribosomal RNA is filed under the name uncultured bacterium. RNAcentral describes it as "bacterial SSU rRNA". It matches the Rfam family "Bacterial small subunit ribosomal RNA", at positions 354 to 796 of the family's 1533-position model. The record is from RNAcentral.